AUGUCCAUUUGGAGAAAUCCGAUAAAAUUAGAAUGAUACAGAAAAAUUAGUAUGGCCCCUACGCAAGGAAGACAUGCACAAAUCGAGAAAUGGUGCAAAAUUUU
This is a small nuclear RNA of Macadamia integrifolia, 104 nucleotides long. Lineage: Eukaryota; Viridiplantae; Streptophyta; Magnoliopsida; Proteales; Proteaceae. The record is from RefSeq and is a predicted model, not a curated record.